Molecule: ribosomal RNA, 660 nt
Filed under: uncultured bacterium
Lineage: Bacteria
Description: bacterial SSU rRNA
Rfam family: Bacterial small subunit ribosomal RNA
Source: RNAcentral
AGUGGCGGACGGGUGAGUAACGCGUGAGAAUCAGCGUUGGGGUCGGGGACAACCACUGGAAACGGUGGCUAAUACCGGAUAAGCCGAUUGGUGAAAGAUUUAUUGCCCGAAGAGGAGCUCGCGUCUGAUUAGCUAGUUGGUGAGGUAAGAGCUCACCAAGGCAGCGAUCAGUAGCUGGUCUGAGAGGACGAUCAGCCACACUGGGACUGAGACACGGCCCAGACUCCUACGGGAGGCAGCAGUGGGGAAUUUUCCGCAAUGGGCGAAAGCCUGACGGAGCAAGACCGCGUGAGGGAGGAAGGCUCUUGGGUUGUAAACCUCUUUUCUCAGGGAAGAAGCUCUGACGGUACCUGAGGAAUCAGCCUCGGCUAACUCCGUGCCAGCAGCCGCGGUAAUACGGAGGAGGCAAGCGUUAUCCGGAAUUAUUGGGCGUAAAGCGUCCGCAGGUGGCGAUUCAAGUCUGCUGUCAAAGCACGGGGCUUAACUCCGUAAAGGCAGUGGAAACUGAAUAGCUAGAGUGCCGUAGGGGUAGAGGGAAUUCCCGGUGUAGCGGUGAAAUGCGUAGAGAUCGGGAAGAACAUCGGUGGCGAAAGCGCUCUACUGGACGGCAACUGACACUCAGGGACGAAAGCUAGGGGAGCGAAUGGGAUUAGAUACCCC